CGCCAAGUCCGAAUAGAUACUACUACUACUUUUUUUAAUUUUUCUUUUACUCUUGUUUUAUUUUACUACUUUUAUUACCAAACUUUUCUCGUUUCUUCCCUUGAAAACGAACCAAUUUUCAUCUCUCUCUCUCUCUCUCUAGCAGUAUAUUCACACGCACCUAUAUAUAUACACACACCACACAUGUCCUCUUUCUAUUCUCCUUUUCUUCAUACUCCUUCCCAUUUUUGCUUCCUCUUCUCUUCCCAACUCUGCAACAUCACACUCAUAAUCAUCUUCUCAUCAUCAAUACGCCCCGUGUAA
Non-coding RNA from Vicia faba (fava bean), 303 nucleotides. Lineage: Eukaryota; Viridiplantae; Streptophyta; Magnoliopsida; Fabales; Fabaceae. The record is from the annotation of a GenBank genome assembly.